GCCCCUCCCGUGCGCGCGCAUUCUCCCUCACAUCGCAGACUAACGUUUUACAUCGAAAAGAUUUGAUGGGACAUCUUCAUCCGCCGCCUCAGCAGGUUUUAACAUUCAAAAUGAAAGUUGGGAGGAAGAAUGUCUUUCAAGUAAGCUACAAAAUUACUGGAAACAAAUUACUCUGCAAACAUUUUGAACACUGAAUAUGUACAUCAAGAUUCCUUUCUUGGCCUGGAUAUGGGACUUCUGGUGCUGAUUGGGAAGAAGAUGCACCACUGGAUUUGCAGAGUCUGGUUUCCUUUUGCUGGUCUCAGAUCCAUUUCCAAACACACGCACUUAUGGUGGAGGCAAGGUCUGCCUGUGUGUGGGCAGCAUUUGUCUUUUUAUAGACUGCAACUGCGUCACAGUAUAAAUGCAAUUUUGGGGGAAAAGUACAGUAAGAGUUAGAUGCCUCUAGGUUUUUACUGGUUUCAUUUAAAAUAAUGUAAAUAGAGUCUUAAGUAAAAAUAUGACCAUAUUGAAAGCUUAGUUAUGGGGCUGUCACUGUGGCAUAGCGGGUAAAGCUGCCACCUGCAGCGCCGGCAUCCCAUGUGGGCGCCGGUUCUAGUCCCAGCUGCUCCACUUUCCAGCUCCCCGCUAUGGCCUGGGAGAGCAGUGAAAGAUGGCCCAAGUCUUUGGGGUCCCUGCACCCAUGUGGGAGACCCGGAAGAAGCUCUAGGCUCCUGGCUUUGGAUCAGCGCGGCUCCAGCCAUUGCGGCCAUUUGAGGAGUGAACAAGCAGAUGGAAGAACACUCACUGCCUCUGCCUCUCUGUAACUCUG
This is a long non-coding RNA of Lepus europaeus (European hare), 811 nucleotides long. RefSeq lists it as uncharacterized. NCBI's taxonomy places the organism in Eukaryota, Metazoa, Chordata, Mammalia, Lagomorpha, Leporidae. The transcript has 3 exons. The record is from RefSeq and is a predicted model, not a curated record.